AAAAUAAACAAAUUUGAAAUCUAAAUGAUGAAUCCAAAAUUUCUAUGGAAUUCUGAAAGAUGGAAAAUUUUUU
This 73-nucleotide transfer RNA is filed under the name Cajanus reticulatus. Its description in RNAcentral is "tRNA-Glu". Lineage: Eukaryota; Viridiplantae; Streptophyta; Magnoliopsida; Fabales; Fabaceae. The record is from RNAcentral.